CUCAUCUUAGGAAAUUCUGGCUGUCUUCCCAGACUAUUGCCUGUUCAUGUUUGCAACUAAAUCAACUAAGGAUGCUGACUAUUGUCCGAUCAUGUUUGCAAGCUAAAGCUACUAAGCAUGCUGACUCUAGCUGAGACAAACAAGGCUAUAAUUAUAGCAAAACUGGAUCAGUUUCACAGGGGUUGCCAGGUGCAAUUUUCAGCUGGGAGGGAUCUGAGACCCAAACAACUCAACAAUAUGAUGUAGACAAUGUCAAGUUGGUUGGUCACUUUGGAUUAUUUGCUUCUGACAAUUCAAGAGAAAAUCAAAUCGGCAGAUAUGAUGAGCGAGGCAAACAAGAAACACCCCAAAGAAUUUGAAGAUAUGAGUGGACGAAGUGAAGAAAUCACUCCAGAUAUGAUCAAUGUCAGUCGAGGUGUCGUACUCAGUCGCAGAAGUUGGAAGACUUUAGGCAGGAUGGCAUGCGUAACAAGGAUGGAUGCAAACAGAUAGGGACCUGGAGUCAUGGAUUGCGAGGACCACAGCCGACCCAAGAUGUAGUGACCCAUCUUUAAAGGGACUCCAUAAAGCCACCUUUACUUUCCCUGUGCCCAAGUGACUAAUGUUCGUGGGACAUUAAUUUUCAAAGAAAAAGAUUGAAAGAGAGCUCCACUUCUGUUAUCCUUGCAUUUGGAUUACAUCAAAAAUUUCAUCAUCUUGCCUUAAUAAAUUUUAUAUUGAAGGGGGCGGCAGCCAAUCUGAUAGAGGCAAAAGUAAUUGCUAGAAUUUUCCCCUCAUUUCAAACAAUUAGAUGUCUUGCCUUUCAUGCCCUCAGCCAUAUGCCCAGCCUUUGCAAACUCAUGUACCAACGAUGGCAUGACGCUCAAACUUAACUUUCAUUUGCAGCCACUUCCCCUCCUAAAUUUGCUGGGGAUGGAGAUCAUGAGCAGCCACCACUGCCGCACGCAGGGAAAAGGGAGGGCUUGCAAGCAGGAUGCUCCAUCUUGAAGGAUGGAAGAAGAGUUUGGAGCACUUUGGGAUCCAUGCAAUGGAUGAUCCUAUGAUAGAUUCGCACAAAUAAAGGAUUAUGGGUAAAUGGUUGUGGCACGGAGGUCUGGAGCAGAAUCCAGUGGCCCUGCGCCCGAGGUUGCAUCAGGAGGCGAGCUAAACCAUUUCCUGCUAGAAGACAAGUUGGUCAUUGGAUAAGGUUAGCAACGUGCUAGUGGAGGCCACCAUCUUUUUUGUGAAGUCUUGUAAGCGUAUCCGCGUCACAAUCACUAAAUCAACGACCUUUGCGGCCGCUACUUCUUGGAAGCCAGGGGGGCAAUCUCAUCUCUUGUUAAUGUUACUCCAAUUACACUCUUUUUGAUAUCUAUGUUAAUAUUAUUUCUUAGGAUAUUCAUUCUAUACUGUUUGGAUUGGAAGUGCCUAGAGAGUGGAGUCGAUUGUUCUAUGAA
Molecule: non-coding RNA, 1436 nt
Organism: Elaeis guineensis (African oil palm)
Lineage: Eukaryota; Viridiplantae; Streptophyta; Magnoliopsida; Arecales; Arecaceae
Source: RefSeq, a predicted model, not a curated record